UGACGCAGCACGCCGUGUGAGUGAUGAAGGCCUUCGGGUCGUAAACUCUGUCAAGUGGGAAGAACCUGUCCCGUGCCAAUACCACGGGACACUGACGGUACCACUGGAGGAAGCACCGGCUAACUCCGUGCCAGCAGCCGCGGUAAUACGGAGGGUGCAAGCGUUAUUCGGAAUUACUGGGCGUAAAGGGCGCGUAGGCGGCUCUUUAAGUCAGGCGUGAAAGCCCGGGGCUCAACCCCGGAAGUGCGUUUGAAACUAGGGAGCUUGAGUACGGGAGAGGGAAGUGGAAUUCCUGGUGUAGAGGUGAAAUUCGUAGAUAUCAGGAGGAACACCGGUGGCGAAGCGACUUCCUGGACCGAUACUGACGCUGAGGCGCGAAAGCGUGGGGAGCAAACAGGAUUAGAGACCCUGGUAGUCCACGCCGUAAACGAUGAACACUAGGUGUAGCGGGUAUUGACCCCUGCUGUGCCGUAGCUACGCAUUAAGUGUUCCGCUGGGACUACGGUCGCAGCUAA
RNAcentral lists this ribosomal RNA (515 nucleotides) under uncultured bacterium. Its description in RNAcentral is "bacterial SSU rRNA". It matches the Rfam family "Bacterial small subunit ribosomal RNA", at positions 384 to 897 of the family's 1533-position model. The record is from RNAcentral.